UGCCCACUGAUUAAUUAAUUAAAGGGCUGCAGUAUUUUGACUGUACAAAGGUAGCAUAAUCAUUAGUCAUUUAAUUGAUGACUUGUAUGAAAGAUUGGAUGAAAUAUAAGCUGUCUCGAAAGUAAUUUAUAGAAAUUAAUUUUUUAAUUAAAAAGUUAAAAUGUUUUAAAAAGACGAGAAGACCCUAUAGAGUUUAAUUUUUAUAAUAAUUUAAUUAAAUUUAUAAAUUGAUUAUAUUUUUGAGUUAUAUAAUAAUUUUGUUGGGGUGAUAGAAAAAUUAAAUAAACUUUUUUUAAUAUUAAACAUUAAUAAGUGAGUUAAUGAUCCAAUUAUAUUGAUUAUAAGAAAAAAUUACCUUAGGGAUAACAGCGUAAUUUUUUUUUUUAGUUCACAUAAAAAAAAGAGUUUGCGACCUCGAUGUUGGAUUAAGAUAAAAUUUAAAUGUAGAAGUUUAAAAUUUUGA
Molecule: ribosomal RNA, 463 nt
Filed under: Kuromondokuga niphonis
Lineage: Eukaryota; Metazoa; Arthropoda; Insecta; Lepidoptera; Erebidae
Description: partial large subunit ribosomal RNA
Source: RNAcentral